Xenopus tropicalis (tropical clawed frog) is the source of this 938-nucleotide long non-coding RNA. RefSeq lists it as uncharacterized. The transcript has 2 exons. The record is from RefSeq and is a predicted model, not a curated record. NCBI's taxonomy places the organism in Eukaryota, Metazoa, Chordata, Amphibia, Anura, Pipidae.
UCUGGUUCUUUAGACCGGAUCAGCAGCUUAUCUGCCUGUGUUUGGACACCCCCCGAUGGCCUACCCGACCAUAACUGGCCUAAAAUUGGCCAGAUCUCAAUUGAGCAGGAUUGAUUUUUCUGUUGGAUCAGGGACCGCAUCAGCCCAUAUACUUGCCGAUUUAAUUCAACCAACAAACAAUCAAGAAACAAUCCGUGGUAUGAAAGUGUGUGUCACCCUGGAAAGCUGGAAGUGCAUUUACAAUUCAAUGACAUGUGAUAGAGAUCUUAGGAAAAAAUCCAAAUGGGAGCAUUUUAGCUUGGGGCAUUAAUUGUUACAGUGAGCAAUGAAAAGCUGGCAAGCAAUGUUGCCUAGGAGGUGUACACAACAUCUACGGCUUGGAAUAGCACUGGCGAUGGCUCUGCUUGUCACAAGCACUUGGAUACCGCUGCGGCCCCAGCAGUACAACUUGCUUCUGAGGAUCAUUAGGCUGACAAAAACGCAAAGUCCUAACAUCCAGCUAUAAAGGGAACAGAGAAAGUGCAGCAUGUGGGGCUGGAUAAUGCUGCUGUUUGAGCAAAUACAUUUGCUUGCCAUUCAAAUUAUGUCACAUGAAGAGAUGUGACCCAAGAGUACAGCUUAUUUUAAGGGACAACUUUCCUUUAAAACAGGAGUCCAAAAUGUACCGUUGUAAUUAUUCCUAUUUGAGAUGGAUGGGCAUUUGUAAUGAAAGGAAGUCGUUCCAACCAAAAACUGCUUAGGACUUACCAAAGAAACUUGCAUUAAUGAGGCAGGGACAGUCUAAAUACUCAAUGGCCUCAUUUUUAUAAGGCAAGGAAAAUAAUUGAAAGCAUGUGUUCUAAGCUCCCAUACGCCAUAUAAAAGAAAUCUAUUGUCCUCAAACCGAUAAUGCAAAAGUUUAUGAAAUUAACCUAAUUAAACAAGUCUUUACUUUUGAC